This 363-nucleotide ribosomal RNA is filed under the name Attagenus unicolor japonicus. RNAcentral's name for it is "large subunit ribosomal RNA". The stretch from base 122 to 280 matches the Rfam family "Bacterial large subunit ribosomal RNA", at positions 2473 to 2632 of the family's 2925-position model. Lineage: Eukaryota; Metazoa; Arthropoda; Insecta; Coleoptera; Dermestidae. The record is from RNAcentral.
UAAAUUUAUGUCUUAUUUAGUUGGGGUGAUUGGAAAAUUGUUAAAACUUUUCUUUUUUUAUAACAUUUAUUUAUGAGUAUUUGAUCCUUGGUUUGAGAUUAUAAGAUUAAAUUACCUUAGGGAUAACAGCGUAAUCCUUUUUUAGAGUUCAUAUCGAAAUUAGAGUUUGCGACCUCGAUGUUGGAUUAAAAUUUACUUUUGGUGCAGAAGCUUUAAAGUUAAGUCUGUUCGACUUUUAAAAUUUUACAUGAUCUGAGUUUAGACCGGCGUGAGCCAGGUUGGUUUCUAUCUUUAUUUUAUUAAUAUAUUUUAGUACGAAAGGACCAUUUAUAUAUAUAAUAUAUUUAUUUUUUGAUUAUUAUU